RNAcentral lists this long non-coding RNA (1147 nucleotides) under Toxoplasma gondii VEG. Lineage: Eukaryota; Apicomplexa; Conoidasida; Eucoccidiorida; Sarcocystidae. The record is from RNAcentral.
AGGAAUUCCAAGUGUAGUCAACAAAUGUUUGAGCUGUUUGACGCUCAAGCGAUUCACAAGCUGUUUGGCGCAACCCGCCGAACAUCUCUCAGGUAUAGUUUUUUCAGCCAUGCUUCCUUGGACUGCCGCUUUGAAUUGCUCCUCGCCAAGAACUUCGCGCAAAGCCUCUUCAAUACAAUUUGUUUGGUUUCCUGGCCCGUGGUUUCCGCUGUGACGGUGUCGUACCGAACCUCCUGAUAUGCCUGUAAAUGGUGUGCCUUCGUCUUUUCCUGCACUUGUUUUAGACUUGUCGGAGCCAAAACUGCGAUUCGAUUGCCUCUUCCACCUUUCAUCGAUUUCGUUUUGCGAUGGGCUCUUUCUUGGAUUCUGAGGCAGGUCUCUUCCUCCAUGAUUCCACGAAUUGUGUCCGUGGCUGUUUCCAUCUCCGAGUUCCGUACAAGUCGGACGCUCCGUUUUCCUCUCUGUGCUUUCUGGGUCUGCAGAAGUGUUUGCGUUUCCGCCGGAGGGAAAACUGUGACUCUCUCGUCUUGGCGCUGCGCAUUCACCUCGGGAUCUUCUUAGCACGUCCUCCCUUGAUGGGAGAGUGCCAUCUCCAGAGGAAGUAUCUUCUUGUUUCCGUCCCUCAUGGUAGUUACUCUUAUGAAAUUCCCGUACACGAUUUCCGGCCUCGGUGGAAUGCCGCCUUCUUUGGCGCGAGAAGACAGUACCGCCACCAUCAGAACAAGAGUUUCCGAAUACAUUCACACCUAAGCCGUCUGUUGAACCAGUUCGGAUAAGACUUCGGUCGUACGCGCUCCGACGUGUCUCAUCGCCUAAGACCUCCCACGCAGCUGUCAGGGCUUGGAAUCUCUGCACGUCGCCGCCUUUGUCAGGGUGCCAGAGAAGUGCAAACUGACGGUAAGUCUUCUUUACUGUUUCGUGGGAGGCAUCUCGAGAGAGCUGAAGGAGAUCGUAAAGGCGAUCUGUGGAAAAAAUGGGCCCUGAGCGGUCGUCACUUCUACGCUCAUCAGAGAAGCUCGAUCCCUCGCGCGUUCGCCUGUGAGACAUCGUGAUAUUCGUUUGGUCAGCUGUGCCGUUUGACCAAGUGCCGGCCUACUGCCUCCUCCUCCCGUAAGAUGAGCCAAGAUGGGCACCGCAUUCAAUCGAU